CCUAGGGAGGCAGCAGUCGGGAAUAUUGCGCAAUGGAGGAAACUCUGACGCAGUGACGCCGCGUGCAGGAAGAAGGUUUUCGGAUUGUAAACUGCUUUAGACAGGGAAGAAAAAAGACAGUACCUGUAGAAUAAGCUCCGGCUAACUACGUGCCAGCAGCCGCGGUAAUACGGAGGAUGCGAGCGUUAUCCGGAUUUAUUGGGUUUAAAGGGUGCGCAGGCGGAAGAUCAAGUCAGCGGUAAAAUUGAGAGGCUCAACCUCUUCGAGCCGUUGAAACUGGUUUUCUUGAGUGAGCGAGAAGUAUGCGGAAUGCGUGGUGUAGCGGUGAAAUGCAUAGAUAUCACGCAGAACUCCGAUUGCGAAGGCAGCAUACCGGCGCUCAACUGACGCUCAUGCACGAAAGUGUGGGUAUCGAACAGGAUUAGAUACCCGGGUAGUC
RNAcentral lists this ribosomal RNA (439 nucleotides) under uncultured bacterium. RNAcentral describes it as "partial 16S ribosomal RNA". It matches the Rfam family "Bacterial small subunit ribosomal RNA", at positions 338 to 795 of the family's 1533-position model. The record is from RNAcentral.